AAAUAUAGACUUGGUGAGCACUAGAGCCCAAUGUUUCAAACAAUUCAUGGACUCUUGUACCAUUAUUAUUAUUUCUAUUAAAAGUUGUACCUUCAUGCCACAUCUGUUUCUAUAUUGUAUUUUUCAGCAAGGAAGGAGUAAUCGGUGACUGAUUUAGCCAGUGACUACAACAAAAAAUCCAAAUCAUUCGUCAGCGCAGGCUGAAACCGAGAGGCUUGUUGGCACUUGGAUCUUUAAAGAAUAACCACUAGGAGAAAUAGAGACAUUAAUCUCACUCACGCAUCAAUUAACAGGUCAAAGACUCGCUCGCCAGUAACCUGCGGAGCGGCGUGAAUAUUUCAUGGACAGGGACGCCGUGUUGUUGAAGGGUGUGAGUGCUGGCGUCAGGAGUUUCUCGUAACCUGCUAUUGUUUUGUUUUUUUGUUGGAAGUAUAUCCAUUGUGGUCAUAUUGCAGUAAAGCUCUUGUUGAUACUCUGCUUUAAAAAAAAAAAAGAAAAAGAGAAAAAAACCUCAAGCAAAACCAGACUCAAAAGUGAUAUGCAAUAUACAUGCACAUGGCUUUUUUUUAAAUAAGAAAAUACUAUUUCAGUCUUGUUUAAUUUGAUGUGUUACUUGCCAUUUCUUGUAAUUAUUUGUGAAUUUUACUAGCAAUUCCUGAGGGAAAAUUGUUUCUGCACCAUUUUUUCCAAUAGGUGUUUUAAUAAAAGUUUGUGUUCAUAAUAUUUUAGGUGCUAUAGCAAACAGGUGUUUUGUGUCAUAGCUAACUGUAUUGCUUAUCGGCAUCCAGGAUGCAUGUGUUUUAUAACGAUACUUAAAUUGCCCCACAUGAAGUUGUGUAUGUGUUUUUGGUCUGGUUGCAUGUGUACAUAGUCUCUGUGUGGGCCUGUGUGUGUAAGUAUCUAGGCACACUCGGCCACAGUGUCGGGUUUCCCAUCAGGCUUUUCUGGCUGUUAUCUCUUUAGUCACGAGCAGCACGUCCCCUCCAGCGCUGACAGUGAGACGGGUGCGAGCCUCGCCUUCACUCCUACUCAAACGCUUCCUCACACCGCGCUCAUUCCACACGAGUUAUUUUUUGAAUAAAUACUGUGCAGUUGAAUUAGCACUAGGUCAAGGUUAUUGCUCAGACUGAGGACUUUUAUAACUCGGGAG
Long non-coding RNA from Cyprinus carpio carpio, 1150 nucleotides. Lineage: Eukaryota; Metazoa; Chordata; Actinopteri; Cypriniformes; Cyprinidae. The record is from Ensembl.